This 522-nucleotide ribosomal RNA is filed under the name uncultured Glomus. RNAcentral's name for it is "SSU rRNA". It matches the Rfam family "Eukaryotic small subunit ribosomal RNA", at positions 569 to 1092 of the family's 1831-position model. Lineage: Eukaryota; Fungi; Glomeromycota; Glomeromycetes; Glomerales; Glomeraceae. The record is from RNAcentral.
AGCAGCCGCGGUAAUUCCAGCUCCAAUAGCGUAUAUUAAAGUUGUUGCAGUUAAAAAGCUCGUAGUUGAAUUUCGGGGUCAGUAGAUUGGUCGUGCCACUGGUAUGUACUGGUCUUACUGGCUCCUCCUUCCUGAUGAACCGUAAUGCCAUUAAUUUGGUGUUGCGGGGAGACUGGACUGUUACUUUGAAAAAAUUAGAGUGUUUAAAGCAGGCUAACGCUUGAAUACAUUAGCAUGGAAUAAUGAAAUAGGACGUUCGAUCUUAUUUUGUUGGUUUCUAGGAUUGGCGUAAUGAUUAAUAGGGAUAGUUGGGGGCAUUAGUAUUCAAUUGUCAGAGGUGAAAUUCUUGGAUUUAUUGAAGACUAACUACUGCGAAAGCAUUUGCCAAGGAUGUUUUCAUUAAUCAAGAACGAAAGUUAGGGGAUCGAAGACGAUCAGAUACCGUCGUAGUCUUAACCAUAAACUAUGCCGACUAGGGAUCGGAUGAUGUUAAUUUUUUAAUGACUCAUUCGGCGCCUUACG